RNAcentral lists this ribosomal RNA (261 nucleotides) under uncultured archaeon. Its description in RNAcentral is "partial 16S ribosomal RNA". It matches the Rfam family "Archaeal small subunit ribosomal RNA", at positions 748 to 1009 of the family's 1478-position model. The record is from RNAcentral.
CAGCCGUAAACUAUGCGCGUUAGGUGUAUCGGUGACCACGAGUCACCGAGGUGCCGAAGGGAAACCGUGAAACGUGCCGCCUGGGAAGCACGGUCGCAAGGCUGAAACUUAAAGGAAUUGGCGGGGGAGCACAACAACGGGUGGAGCCUGCGGUUUAAUUGGACUCAACGCCGGGAAGCUCACCGGAUAAGACAGCGGAAUGAUUGCCGGGCUGAAGACUCUGCAUGACUAGCUGAGAGGAGGUGCAUGGCGUAGACGUCU